Molecule: ribosomal RNA, 254 nt
Filed under: uncultured bacterium
Lineage: Bacteria
Description: partial 16S ribosomal RNA
Rfam family: Bacterial small subunit ribosomal RNA
Source: RNAcentral
UACGUAGGGGGCAAGCGUUGUCCGGAUUUAUUGGGCGUAAAGAGCUCGUAGGCGGUUUGGUAAGUCAGGUGUGAAAUCUCCACGCUCAACGUGGAGGGGCCACCUGAUACUGCCAUGACUGGAGUCCGGUAGAGGAGUGUGGAAUUCCCGGUGUAGCGGUGAAAUGCGCAGAUAUCAGGAGGAACACCGGUGGCGAAGGCGGGUCUCUGGGCCGAUACUGACGCUGAGGAGCGAAAGCGUGGGGAGCGAACAGG